RNA transcript from Capsicum annuum, 5803 nucleotides. RefSeq lists it as uncharacterized. NCBI's taxonomy places the organism in Eukaryota, Viridiplantae, Streptophyta, Magnoliopsida, Solanales, Solanaceae. The transcript has 3 exons. The record is from RefSeq and is a predicted model, not a curated record.
UAGACCAAGCCAUCCUCCACUCCACCAAGUCCAACAAGAAGCGCUUGGAACCCAAAUACCACCACCAAACCCAAACCCUCUCAUCCAAACUCCACUUGACCAAAGACCUCACUAUCCAAAUCCAAUUCCGUCACUACAAGCUCCAUUUAACCUAAAUAGACCCAUCCAUGUUGAGGGCUAUGGUAGGGGAGGACAACAUGAUGGUUAUGAACCGUAUGAUGAUACUUACAUAAGAGGGGGAGAGAUAAGGGGAAGGCAUGGUGAUCCGAGGAAAGUUAAUGGCCGAGAAGGUAGAGUUGGUCAUUGGAACCAAUAAGGGAACCAAAACCGUGAUGUAGGGCUAAAUACCAUCAAGAUGGGGCUUCCAAUCUUCAAGGGUGAGAGUGAUCCCGAAGAUUUUCUUGCAUGGGAAUCCUCAUGUGAGAUGGUUAUCCAAGUUAAUGAUCUUACCGAGGAGAAGAAGAGUUGCUAUGCGAUUGCUCACUUUGAGGGUUAUGCUACUACAUGGUGGGAGUAUGUUAAGCGUUUUGGUAAUGCUUUGGUUAAGGGGAAUCCCCCUCCUUGGUUUCAGUUAAGGUACCUCAUGAUACAAAGGUAUCUACUCGAAAGAUAUCAACAAGAGCUCCUUGCCAAGUUGUAUAACUUAAGGCAAGGGAACAAGAACGUCAUGGAUUACUAUGAUGAGUUCCAACAACUCAUUUUGAAACUUGAUCAUCGAGGGGAGCAAGUGAGUUACAACAUCAUCCGAUUCAAGGUGGGAUUGAAUAGAGAUAUUGCCUCGCGGUUGACACUUCACAAGUUCGACACUAUUGAUGCCAUCUUCCAAGCUGCCUUGGAGAUUAAAAGAGAGUUCGGGAGAAACCGGGGUAUAAGCUUAAGGUGAAAUCACCCUCAGGUUAGCACAAGGACAAAAAUGACUCAUGCAAUGUGGAGAAACCCGAGGUCAAGGCUGCCCAAGCCGAGAACAAGGCUCACCAAAGGUACCCUCCAAGAAAUGAAGGUAAAUCGCAUUCCUUUCCUAAUGCUAAGGGUUUUCAAUAUUUUAAAUGCCAAGGUUGGGGACACAAGGCUAAUGAGUGUCCAAAUAGGAGAAAUAUAAUCCUAAGGGAGGGGAAAUUGUACUUUCUUGGGGAAAAGGUGGGACUUGAACCAACGGAGAUUGAUGAUCAAUGUCAAGAUGGAGAGAGGGUAAAACCCGAGAGGCCAAAGGAAGGGGAGGAGGAAGAUGCAUGGCCAUGUGAUGGUGAGCUUGAGGUGUCGUGUUUUGUAGUGAGAAGGACCAUGAUUAGUAAGGCUUUGGUUGAUCCUAGUCAAAGGGAAAACCUUUUUAACACCAAAUACCUUAUUAAGGGAGUUGUGUGUUCCAUGAUCAUUGAUGGAGGUAGUUGUACGAAUAUUGCUAGUAGUACCUUGGUUUACGUCUUGAGGUUUCCCACUAUCCAUCAUUCAAACCCAUACAACCUUCAAUGGUUGAAUGAGUGUAGGGAGUUAAAGGUAAACCGACAAGUGGUGAUAUGGUUUAAGGUAGGCAACUAUUUUGACGAGGUGUUGUGUGAUGUUAUUCCUAUGCAAGCGUGCCACCUAUGGUUAGGGAGAACAUGGAAAUAUGAUAGAGAUACCAUGCAUGAUGGACGAACCAAUAGCUACACUUUGAAGCUCCAUGGUCGAAGGUAUACACUCCACCCUCUCUCACCGAUACAAGUGGCCGAAGUUAAUCAAAAAGUGAGGAAGUUAGAGGAAAAGAGGAAAAAAGAGCUAAAGGGAAAGACCGAGAGUGGGAGUAGAGGAGAAGGGAAGGGAACCAAGGAUCAAAAAGGAAAGGGUUCCUCACUUUUGGGACUUACCCUCGGGGAUCCUUUAUUUCUCACUAACGUAGGUACUAGCAUUUUGCCUAGUACUGCCUUUUCUUGUGUGUAGGUUCAUGAUCAUGUGCUUUCUAGGGGGGAUACUAAGCAGAUUUCUCACCAACACAUGCUUGAAGAUCUCAAGGAGCCCUUAGCUAAGCAUCCAAUUUUCUUGACAGAAAAUGAGGAAGUGAUUCUAUGGAGAAGCCAUGAGGUUGAGGUCAAACUCCUUUCAAGAUGGAGAGGAUGGUACAAGUACGACCUCAUAGAUGGAUAUUUUUAAGCAUGUUGAAUGCAACCGAGAAAGUGCACACGUGUAAGUGUGAAGGAGGCUCCAAAACCGUCCAUAAUGUGCACUACAUAGGCGCCUAUUGCUCACUUGGUCAUUAAAGGGCCUUUUUGUCUUUUCACCUUUUAUUUGUGAUGUAAUAUAAAUAGAACAACUUAGGGUUUUUUGGACUUAGUGGAUUAUUGUUGAAACUUGAGACAUUGUAACAUCCAAAGUUCUCUCUUAGUCUUGAAAGUGAACUCAAAACCGAAACUAGAGCUAGGCAAGUGAAGAUUCACUUGUGUUUGCCUUGUUGGCUUGAUACGUUGGUGUUUAGAGAAGAUAAAGUCCCUCUUGUGUCAACGUAGUAGUUAGGUGUUUAUUGUGUGUAGUGUUAAGGGUUCAAAAGUCCACCAAAUUCUUGGGUUCUUAAGAUUAUACCCUCACUUAUCUAACUAUCUAUCUUGUAUCUUGUUGUAAGUUUUGGUUUCUUAUUCUUGUUAAUGAACCCGUGAGUCAUUUUUAUUGUAAUAUUGUUGUUCUUCAUCUCUUUGUUGCUAAUAUAGUUUGGGUUGUUGGUUGAUUGGUAUGUUAAACACUUUGUACUCUCUCCUUUCUUGUUCUAGAUAGUGAAUUCGAGAGUGGUCACCAAAGGGUCCUCGGUUCCCUUGAGCUUAUGGACUAUUUUUGGUGUGUGAUUUCGUGUGUUCUUGGUCAUUAUUGUAUCAAAGACUGUUCGAGAUACAAAAAGGGCAGCCCGGUGCACUAAAGCUCCCGCUAUGCGCAGGGUCCGGGGAAGAGCCCUACCACAAAUGUAACUAAAGCCCCCGUUGUUCAAGACACAACGACCUCUAAAUUAACCAUGAAUAUUACAUUUUACAUCGAGAAACCUAGUAGUUUCAACUAUCAUCAAGCUACAAAUAGAAGAGGAUACAUUUGGAAACUGAUUAAAUUUCUCCAUGAUAACCUCCAGAACCAAAGUAGCCUCUCCUUGAAUUGGCUGUCUACAUGCUCUGUUGAUGCUCUAGCAUGGGGCUGUCACAGAUACAAUGACCAAUCCUACCACAAUACACCCAACUCUUUACCCCACUUGUACUCAUGAUUGCCUUGACGUAGUUCAGGCUGGUUUGGGUACUCAGAGGUAUUUGUUGAAAGUUGCUUUAAGAAUACAACUAUUUUUUCUUUUUUCUCCAGCAGUUUUUUUACAUACAAUACUAGUUAAAUUAGGAGUCCUAAUGCAACUGUUUUUUCUUUUUUCUCCAGCAGUUUUUUUACGUAUAAUCCUAGUUAAAUUAGGAGUCCUAUCUUUGGUAGGAAACUAAUUAGUUAUUUUAUUUUAAUUUUGGUAGAAAUAGGUUGUUUCUUUAUCCUAUUUUUUAUUGUAAUAGCAACUAUUUAAGUUGCUAAGUUGAUGAUCAAUAAUAGAUGGUCUUUUAACAAGAAAAUAAUCUAUCUCUCUGCAUAUUCUCUUCUUCAAACUUCAUCUCUAUUUCAGCGGUUAGUUUUUGAAUUGAUAUCCUGUUAUUUUCUUUUAACAAUUUUAAACCAACAGUAUUAAUAGGAUAAUUUUAUUGGUGCAAUUAAAGUUGUUUGUUUUUAUUGAAAUACUGUUUUUGCCUGCUUUGGUUAUGGAGGUGUUGACUCGAGUAUCCAAGGAGAGGUGUCAUGGUGUAUGCUUUUUGUGGACAAUGUGGUUUUGAUUGACGAGACCCGGGAAGGUGUGAAUGAUAAAUUAGAGGUGUAGAGACAGACUCUUGAGUCUAAAGGGUUCAGGUUGAGUAGGAGCAAGACCGAAUAGUUGGAAUGUAAGUUUAAUGGCUCGGGGGAGCAGGACGAGGUGGUAGUAAGGUUGGAUUCUCAGGUGGUGUGUAAGAGGGAUAGUCUUAAGUACCUCGGGUCUAUGAUUCAGGGGAAUGAUGAGAUUGACGAGGAUGUCUCUCACCGGAUUGGGGCGGGAUGGAUGAAUUGGAAGCUCGCCUCAGGGGUGUUGUGUGAUAAGAAGGUGCCGCCCAAUCUUAAAGGCAAAUUUUACAGGGUGGCAGUCCGCCCGGCCAUGUUGUAUGGAGCGGAGUGUUGGCCAGUCAAGAACUCUCAUAUUCAAAAAUUGAAGGUGGCGGAAAUGCGGAUGUUACGUUGGAUUUGUGGUCUUACUAGGGGGAUAGGGUUCGGAAUGAGACUAUUCGGGAGAGAGUUAGAGUGGCUUCGGUGGAGGACAAGAUGCGGGAGGUCCGUUUGAGAUGGUUCGGACACAUGAUGAGGAGGGGCACAGAUGCACCAGUUCGUAGGUGUAAGAGGCUUGCUUUAGAUGAUUUCAAGCAGGAAAGGGGCAGGUCAAAGAAAUAUUGGAGAGAGGUGAUUAGGCGGGACAUAGAGCAGUUACAACUUACUGAGGACAUGAACCUAGAUAGAAAGAGCUGGAGGACGCGUAUUAGGAUAGAAGGCUAGUGACUAUUAGGGUAGGUAGGGUAGGGCAUUACCUGUUUGGUGUAUUACUCUUGUUAGGCUACCUUGUUGCAUGCUGUAUUACGAGUGCCUACUAUUCUUUGUUUACUUUCCAUUGUAAGGGCAUUUUUAUGUCUUGCCAUCUUGUUCCAUGCAUUUCGUACGGUUGUGAUUACUUAUCUUAUCUUGAGCCGGGGGUCUAUCAGAAACAGUCUUGCUAUUUCUCAGGAGGUAGUGGUAUGAACUGCGUACAUCUUACCCUCCCCAGACCUCACUGUGUGGGAAUACACUGGGUUUGUUGUUAUUUUUGUUGCUGUUGUGUUCUUUUCUUGUACAGUGUCAUGAACGACAUGGACUCCGCCAAAUUCUAUGUGAAGAAUCAAAUUCAGCAGUUGUUUCCUAGGAUUCUACUCGAUAUGUAUCUGAAUUUUCACAUCAAUGAAGAUUCGAUGCCCUGAAGCUGCAAUUUAUCCUCACUUGUGAUGUUGAUUCUUCUUAUUCAGAACCAAUGUCAGGGACUCCGCAAAUUCUACGUGAAGAGUCAAAUCCAGCAGUUGUCAACAGAGAAGUGAGAGCUUCAGAAAUUGUUUCCAGGAUGCUAUUUGAUGUGUAUAUGAAUUUUCACAUCAAUGAUUCCACCUGUCUGUGAAGAUUCGAUGCCCUGGAGGCUGGAACUUUCCCUCAGAUGUAGUAUUGAUUCUUUUUAUUCAGGAAAAUUGAUAGUCUUGAUGCUUCCAGCACCUCCAUCACCUUGAACUUCAAUGCUUUUGAUAGCUUGUGGCAUCAACUUCGGGAUCAAGUUAUGAGAAUCAACAAUGGAGGCCUUGAAUAUUCUUUUGGGAGGAAGUGGAGAAGUGUUCUCCUCAGUGAAGGUGGUGACAGCCAUAAUGUUUUGAUUUUGAGAAGAAAAUAAAAUAGUAUUUCUUGUAGGGAGAGAGCAGUUGUUUGAUGAAAAGUAAGGGGGAUAUCAAAGUUUAUAUAGGUUCAAGUCCAUGUAUUAUAUAAUCUUGUAGUCAUUUUCAUGGCAGGCCGCAUAUAUGCUUUUGCUCGUCCAUAUGCAUUGGUUUCCAAUGUUUGUGAAGUUGCUAUAGCAUAAGGAUCUGCUUGUUUUGUGGUUAGAUGCUCUUUGUUGGAUUUACUUGUUCAGUAUAUUUGGUAUACUUCGAUUAUCACACUAUUCCGUUGUAGUUACUGUUCUUUGCAGAAUGCUUUCCCAUGUUUUUUAUAGUAUUUUACCAUGAUUUCUUCA